This 72-nucleotide transfer RNA is filed under the name Camelus bactrianus (Bactrian camel). It matches the Rfam family "tRNA". Rfam says of the family: Transfer RNA (tRNA) molecules are approximately 80 nucleotides in length. Their secondary structure includes four short double-helical elements and three loops (D, anti-codon, and T loops). RNAcentral also lists the same sequence under 2 other names. Lineage: Eukaryota; Metazoa; Chordata; Mammalia; Artiodactyla; Camelidae. The record is from Rfam by way of RNAcentral.
GGGGGGAAGGUAUAGUGGUAGAGCAUGUGCUUAGCAUGCAUGAGGUCCUGGGUUCAAUCCCCAGUACCUCCA